AAACCCAAACCCGCUCCACCGCGCCCCUCCCCAGCGUUUGAACGCUCCGAGCUCCGAUCAAUUCUCUCCGACCCUAGCAUUCGAGCGCUCCGAGCUCUCCCCCUCUCCAUCACCGCUGCUCAUCCCCCUCUCCCUAUUCCUCCGCGUCUUCUCUAAGCUCCGAUCCUAUCCCCAAACCACCCUCGCUUUCGCCCCCGAUCUUCUCGGCCCGGCGUGCUUCGAGGAGAUCCGGCGUCGCCCUCGACCUCCUCCCCCACGAGCGCGGCGGCACUCCCACGACCUCCCUCCGCCGCCACACCCUUUCCGUCUUCGGCAUCCGACACAGCCACUGCUGCCACUGCCAUCGAAUUCGGCUUCUCCCCACCGCAGGAGCUCUCUUAGAGGUUCGCCGAGAGGAACCUUAAGCCCUGUGCGGAUCUCAAUUGCGAAAUUGUGGAUCCUAGGGUUUUUGAGGAACGGUCAGCUCUGCGGCAGCGGCGGAGGCGGUGGCAGGGAGGUUGAGAGGUUGAAAGUGAGGGUUUAAAUUUGGGGAUUAAACAAAUCAAAUCUUCUUUUUUUUUAUUGCUUAAACCCAGUUAUUAUUACUAGCGGGUCGAGUUAUUAUAAUUUGUAUCAGAGCCGAAUACCAACCAAAAAUGUGAGAGCUAAGUGUUAUACGGGGCAAAAUGCUACACCAAUAGGUUUGGUAGAAACCACCUCUUGAACCCAUAGGAGCCACUUCUAGAAUCUUACAUCGCCUGAUAAUUCCGGUGUGUAUGUCUGUGAUCUAGGUUUGGACCUGACAAGAACGUCAGGGUCUAAACAUGGGAAAUUUGUAAUGCCCCAAUAGUUUUACAUCGGAUGGAAAAAUAAUUCUGAUUAGAAUAUAUGAGGUAUACAUGCUAGUAAUAAUAACUGGGUUUAAGCAUUUUGGACUGGUGGUUUGAGUCCAACGAGUUAUUGUUGUUAGCAGGUCGGGUCGUUGCAAGACCAACAUCCUGUCCUGUCGCGGAAGGUUAGGUUGGACUGAGUCACAUUCGAAAUGGCGGUAUGCCAGGUUGGACCAAGUCAUGUUUGAAGUGGUGCAAAGCUGGUUGGGCCGAGUAACAAUCAAGACCCGUGAGCGCUGUGUCUAUACAGUUUACAUGAAUUAGUUGUGUAUUUCUAAUAGUUCGAGCUUUUGAGAUUAAUAAUUAGCGCCAACGAUUCAACAGCUACUACUAGUUUACUACUACUAAGGCU
Molecule: long non-coding RNA, 1221 nt
Filed under: Ananas comosus (pineapple)
Lineage: Eukaryota; Viridiplantae; Streptophyta; Magnoliopsida; Poales; Bromeliaceae
Description: long non-coding RNA (ACOM_LNC034644)
Source: RNAcentral